This 45-nucleotide non-coding RNA is filed under the name Schistosoma mansoni. The record is from RNAcentral. Lineage: Eukaryota; Metazoa; Platyhelminthes; Trematoda; Strigeidida; Schistosomatidae.
AUCCAGCUGACGAGUCCUGAAUAGGACGAAACGCGUGUCCUGGAU